GCGGGGGCCGGGCCACGGAGUCCGCAGGACCUCCGCGGAGCGAGAGACAGCCGACCUCGGGGCAGGGCGCGCGGACCGGGCCCCGCGGAAGCGGGAUGCAGGAAGAGACUGCGGGGAGCGAGCGGGCCGUGCCGUGAGAAGGAGCUCCCCAGGUGAUUGUAGUGUGAAGCAGUUUGAAACCACCAGUCGUCUCCAUCUGUGCUUCUCUCACUUGAAUGGCCAUAGGAAUCAUCUGAGGAUCUUGUUAAAAUGCAGAUUCAAAUUAGAGUUUUUCCCCUCAGACUCAUAGAGUUCAAGGCAUACUGAAGAUAUACUUGCGGGGGCUUGUAAUGUGUGUUGUCUUCGAGCUGGCAAAGGAGUUCCUGAUGGGAACAGUACUGUGAAACUGUUGGCUCCUGAUUCAUCGACUUCCUAAUAAGCAGAAAAAUAAUAUGCAUAUUCUUCGAUAUCUAUCAUUACAAAGUUACUCCUAUAAUAAAUAUAAUACUUAAUCCUUGUUGAUAAUCUAGAAACUAGAUAGGCAAAGAGAAGAAAACAGAAGUGAUCCUUAAUCCCAACCUACUUCAUUUAAAAAUAAAUUGAAACAUGUAUCUAUCUCUAUUUGAAGCUUAUGAUUAAAAUUAUAAGAAAUUAACAUGUUAGAUAAAUACUAACUGAAA
This is a non-coding RNA of Leptonychotes weddellii (Weddell seal), 659 nucleotides long. The record is from RefSeq and is a predicted model, not a curated record. NCBI's taxonomy places the organism in Eukaryota, Metazoa, Chordata, Mammalia, Carnivora, Phocidae.